This is a long non-coding RNA of Rhipicephalus microplus (southern cattle tick), 1311 nucleotides long. RefSeq lists it as uncharacterized. The record is from RefSeq and is a predicted model, not a curated record. Lineage: Eukaryota; Metazoa; Arthropoda; Arachnida; Ixodida; Ixodidae.
GCGUUUGCUUCAGGGGCCGGUGAUAGUGGAACUCAGUGAUCGAGCCGGCGUCGUUGCAUAAAGGUCCCACGAGCCGCUGUCGACCCACGCAUAUUGCCGCCGAGGAAACUUGUUUCUGCUGAUUGGGCAUGCCCGCGACGAGUGUCGGAAGUGUUUGCCAGGCGAGGAAAUGGCAGCCGUUGUCUCUACCAUGGCGGAUGUUUUUUUACGCUCUUCAGGCUUACUUCAUCGAAGUCAACUUUGCAGCUGCUGUUGACCUGUUUGCGUCAGGAAACAUCACACUGCGUGGCUGGAGCAGCAUGUGGGCCCUGAUUAUCUAUUCGGUGGCCGCCGUCAUUAUGGAGAAGAUCCGCGAUGUGCUAAAGCCUCGCGGAUAUCCUCUGGCCGCCGUUGCAUUCGCUCACAUGUGCUGCAUGUAUUUGUGCGAGUUCACCUCUGGCUGUAUACUUAAGCCACUCGGUGCGUGCUACUGGACCUACGAACACUUCCGCUUCAACAUUGCUGGUUUGGUGACCCUGGAGUACGCACCUCUGUGGUAUUUUCUUGGUGUGGUUUUUGAAAUAUUCUAUGUGCCCUACUUGUUUCGACUUGGGUGGAUAGAAAACGUGGAAUGAUUGAUGGAGUGUGAUGUGCCAUGUUUCCGAGUCUAGUUAUUGUCCAUAUAUGGGGUUUCGCGCUCUUAUCCACAAUGAAUCUGCACCAAUUGACCCACUUUUCAAUUUUAACCAACGUAGGCGCAGAGCUUUACAUACGACACCGUUUAUAUUUUCAGCCAGAUGUUUUCCCACAACUACACGCUACGUCCCCAAUCUCCUAAUAACCAUCGGCAACCGGAAAAACGCAAAAAGAAUUGUUUUUAAGACAAGCAUUCUCGGCAAGUUGUGGUAAACUAGAGAGGUGAGUGAGUUUGAAACGAUGCACACUAGACAAACCACGUGAACACGACGCAAACACACCACAAAAAGAACCAGCGCUCGUCCUGUUUGUUUCACUCGUGUUCGCGUUGGUUCCCAAAGCCCAGGCAAGUUAUAUACCCAGCCAUUUGUGAAAUCUGCAUAACAGAACUUCCAACACUAGUUUUUUCCGAAAAAAAUAAGGCUGGAACAGCAUGUACAUGAAUACGAAAGAAAGUACCUUUCAUAGGAGAUGCAUCUGUACUUUGUUUUUCUCAAUGUGGCACACCUGUAUGCCCAACAUCACGCCCUUGGAAACAAACUUUGAAUUAUUAGCCGGGGAGCAAAACAUAAGAAUAAUGGUUUGAAGAAAUAAAAAAUCUUUGGAAUAAAAAUUAUGAGAAUAAAAACGAUGUGG